Molecule: ribosomal RNA, 637 nt
Filed under: uncultured bacterium
Lineage: Bacteria
Description: bacterial SSU rRNA
Rfam family: Bacterial small subunit ribosomal RNA
Source: RNAcentral
UUUUGCCGGCGAGCGGCGGACGGGUGAGUAAUGCCUGGGGAUCUGCCCAGUCGAGGGGGAUAACUACUGGAAACGGUAGCUAAUACCGCAUACGCCCUACGGGGGAAAGCAGGGGACCUUCGGGCCUUGCGCGAUUGGAUGAACCCAGGUGGGAUUAGCUAGUUGGUGAGGUAAUGGCUCACCAAGGCGACGAUCCCUAGCUGGUCUGAGAGGAUGAUCAGCCACACUGGAACUGAGACACGGUCCAGACUCCUACGGGAGGCAGCAGUGGGGAAUAUUGCACAAUGGGGGAAACCCUGAUGCAGCCAUGCCGCGUGUGUGAAGAAGGCCUUCGGGUUGUAAAGCACUUUCAGCGAGGAGGAAAGGUUGGUAGCUAAUAACUGCCAGCUGUGACGUUACUCGCAGAAGAAGCACCGGCUAACUCCGUGCCAGCAGCCGCGGUAGUACGGAGGGUGCAAGCGUUAAUCGGAAUUACUGGGCGUAAAGCGCACGCAGGCGGUUGGAUAAGUUAAAUGUGAAAGCCCCGGGCUCAACCUGGGAAUUGCAUUUAAAACUGUCCAGCUAGAGUCCUUGUUAGAGGGGGGUAGAAUUCCAGGUGUACCGGUGAAAUGCGUUAAGAAUCUGGAGGAAUACCGGU